UACGUAGGUGGCAAGCGUUGUCCGGAUUUAUUGGGUUUAAAGGGUGCGUAGGCGGCCCUGUAAGUCAGUGCUGAAAUAUCCCGGCUUAACCGGGAGGGUGGCAUUGAUACUGCAGGGCUUGAGUACAGAUGAAGUAGGCGGAAUUGACGGUGUAGCGGUGAAAUGCAUAGAUAUCGUCAAGAACACCGAUAGCGAAGGCAGCUUGCUAAGCUGUAACUGACGCUGAGGCACGAAAGUGUGGGGAUCAAACAGG
Molecule: ribosomal RNA, 253 nt
Filed under: uncultured bacterium
Lineage: Bacteria
Description: partial 16S ribosomal RNA
Rfam family: Bacterial small subunit ribosomal RNA
Source: RNAcentral